This 735-nucleotide ribosomal RNA is filed under the name uncultured Bacteroidota bacterium. Its description in RNAcentral is "bacterial SSU rRNA". It matches the Rfam family "Bacterial small subunit ribosomal RNA", at positions 28 to 755 of the family's 1533-position model. The record is from RNAcentral. Lineage: Bacteria; Pseudomonadati; Bacteroidota.
GAUGAACGCUACGGCAGGCCUAAUACAUGCAAGUCGAACGGGAUCCAUUGGUAGCUUGCUACCGAUGGUGAGAGUGGCGCACGGGUGCGUAACGCGUGAGCAACCUACCCAUAUCAGGGGGAUAGCCCGGAGAAAUCCGGAUUAAUACCGCAUAUGACCGAUUAAGGGCAUCUUUUUUCGGUCAAAUAUUUAUAGGAUAUGGAUGGGCUCGCGUGACAUUAGCUAGUUGGUGAAGUAACGGCUCACCAAGGCGACGAUGUCUAGGGGCUCUGAGAGGAGAAUCCCCCACACUGGUACUGAGACACGGACCAGACUCCUACGGGAGGCAGCAGUAAGGAAUAUUGGUCAAUGGGGGGAACCCUGAACCAGCCAUGCCGCGUGCAGGAUGACUGCCCUAUGGGUUGUAAACUGCUUUUAUUGGGGAAUAACUGUCACUACGUGUAGUGAUUUGAAUGUACCCAACGAAUAAGGAUCGGCUAACUCCGUGCCAGCAGCCGCGGUAAUACGGAGGAUCCAAGCGUUAUCCGGAAUUAUUGGGUUUAAAGGGUGCGUAGGCGGCAUUUUAAGUCAGGGGUGAAAUACGGCAGCUCAACUGUCGCAGUGCCUUUGAUACUGAAGUGCUUGAAUGCGGAUGAAGACGGCGGAAUGAGACAAGUAGCGGUGAAAUGCAUAGAUAUGUCUCAGAACACCAAUUGCGAAGGCAGCUGUCUAAGUCGUUAUUGACGCUGAUGCACG